GGGUUGUGAGGUUAAGCGACUAAGCGUACACGGUGGAUGCCCUGGCAGUCAGAGGCGAUGAAGGGCGUGCUAAUCUGCGAUAAGCGCCGGUAAGGUGAUAUGAACCGUUAUAACCGGCGAUACCCGAAUGGGGAAACCCAGUGUGACUCGUCACACUAUCAUUAACUGAAUCCAUAGGUUAAUGAGGCGAACCGGGGGAACUGAAACAUCUAAGUACCCCGAGGAAAAGAAAUCAACCGAGAUUCCCCCAGUAGCGGCGAGCGAACGGGGAGGAGCCCAGAUCCUGAAUCAGCAUGUGUGUUAGUGGAAGCGUCUGGAAAGGCGCGCGAUACAGGGUGACAGCCCCGUACACAAAAGCGCAUGUGCUGUGAGCUCGAUGAGUAGGGCGGGACACGUGGUAUCCUGUCUGAAUAUGGGGGGACCAUCCUCCAAGGCUAAAUACUCCUGACUGACCGAUAGUGAACCAGUACCGUGAGGGAAAGGCGAAAAGAACCCCGGCGAGGGGAGUGAAAAAGAACCUGAAACCGUGUACGUACAAGCAGUGGGAGCCCCACCACCAAAGCAUUAUCUGGUGUUGAAGGCCCUGCAAAGCAGCAUCGCGGUGGCGGAGCGUCGUUUGCGACGCCCAACACACAAAACAAGCGGUGAAUGCUUUG
This 656-nucleotide ribosomal RNA is filed under the name Salmonella enterica. Its description in RNAcentral is "partial 23S ribosomal RNA". It matches the Rfam family "Bacterial large subunit ribosomal RNA", at positions 1 to 604 of the family's 2925-position model. RNAcentral also lists the same sequence under 1 other name. The record is from RNAcentral. Lineage: Bacteria; Pseudomonadati; Pseudomonadota; Gammaproteobacteria; Enterobacterales; Enterobacteriaceae.